AAAUGUUGAUCUGUGUGGCUUAGAAGGUUAGUGAGGACCUGAGGGAGUCGGCUUAACAGCCUCGUCUCCGUACACAGCAGACCGUGCCAACACCAUCAAGCUCCAUGCCCCCAAGCAGGAAAAGCUCAAGAGAUAUUACCUCAGCCUCCUUUGACCACGAUGCUGAGGGGACCUAAGCAGCAUCAUUCCUGGGAGGAAGAAGUGCUUGGAACACUCACUUGGUUGGAGUAGUGCCACCGAGGGAUUAGUCCUCUGAAGCCAAACUGACUCUACAUCCACCACAAUGCCUCACUUCAGCCUGAAGCGCCCAGGAGAAAAGAGACCGGCUACAACUUCUCCCCAGACAACUGCGCAUUUCAGAGAUGCGGAUAAGACAAGAGGCACCUAUCUGCAAGUUGUUGUUCUAGGAGCUCCUUUGGGUUAUAAUGUCCUCUCAGAACACUUACAUCACCAUUGAUCACCAUCAGAAGCGUGGGAAAGCCGCCAUCGUGCAGGAGAAACAGUGGCCGUCUACGCACUGUCUCAUUACCUGACAACAAGGAAACACCAGCCUCAACUCGGGAGUGGAACCAAGGAACCAAGCAGAAGGGCCGAGAAGCACCUCAGCUUGGAGAUGGCUGUGCCAGCGGCUCUGACACCAUAGAUACUUGUAUAGCCAUUUCUUCCAUAUUGAAACAUUCCACUGAGAAGGACAAUAGAUGCUCACAAAGCUCACAAGAGAAUUAUAAGACUCACAAGGCCCCUCCUCAGAACUUUGUAGAUGGGAAACAACUGCUAGAGGACAGGAGACUCUUUGGGGAUGUAGCUUUUAUCAUGCUGAUGUCAGUGACAAGCUGUCAAUGUUGUUAGAGUGGGCUUUGGGUAAUGCAGUUCCCUGAGGCACCUAUGCAUCUAUAAGUAAGCUCCAUCUACCCUCCUAUAAACAACCCCAAUGCCCACAUUGCUUCACCAAGUUAGACUUGGGUGGAAUUGUGCUCACCAGUGUCCUUUCAGGGUUGAACAGACUUUUGUUCGUGUCCCCAGGAAAAGUCACACAGAAACUGCCUUAUAGAGCAGAACCAACACAUGAUGCUAUUUACAGCAGAGAUGAAAUGGAAAUUGAUCCAGAAAUGCUUGAGUGAAGGGUAUCAGGGCUUCAAAUACUUAUACGACCAGCUCAUGUCAUAGGCAAGGAAGAAGAAUGCAGUAGAUCAUUGUUGUCUUACAUGUUGAGAUGUAUUUGAUAAUGUGAUCAUCUUAAAAGGUCGACCCUGUAAGGGGUGGUGAAGUCAUGAGGGCAAAGCCAUCAAGGAUGGUAUCCUGGCCUUUGUAGAGAGGCUUGGUGGAGUGGAUAUAUUUAUUCUCUGCUGCUGUAAGGACAGAGUAUCCAUCAGCUUCCAGCCUUUCUGCCUUCUACCAUGUAAAGACACAAUGUUGAAGGACCUAUCUUGAACACGUAGACUAGACACUCAUAAGACACAGAAUUGACCAUUGGGCCAAUCUUGGGCUUUCCAGCCUUUAGAACUGUAGAAAUAGGUGCCUGCUAUUUGGAAUUACCCAGGCUCUUGUGUUUUGUUGUAGAAAUCCAAGCAGACCGAGACACAGCUUAAAUAGAACCACUUUUGUCCCCAUUUCCCAUUUAAGUUCAGUAUGAAACCUUUUCCAGCAAGCAGUCAUUAUGGCACAGAGGAAAACAAGGGCAAAGACUCAAAGCUCUCCCUAAGUGUAAACUUUACUUCAAUAGGAACUUUCCCUCAGGCACUCUAAUCCCCAGUUACAUGCCCCUGCCUCUAGGUCCAUCCCUUCUCCCUGCUUCCUCCCUCAGAGUCUGGCUCUCUUCUUAACUCUUAGCUCUCCCCAACUCCAACCGGUGUAAUAUUCCCGAAGCCCAGACUGGCCCCAAACCAACCCCAAGCAGACUAACCUCCUCAAGUUUGGAUAUAGAGCUCCCCGUGGACAACCCCUAAAGACCUCCAAAUGAAAGUAGAGCCAUGUUCAAACUCAUGCCCUUGACACAGUAUAGCAAGAAGCUAAAGAGAAACCCUUCGUGGCCAUAUGGCUCAUCUUCAGUCUCUACAGUGGUCCAGGAUACGUCCACCAACCCGUCUUCCCCCCUACUUUACUCAGUCCUUGGUUACUUCUGGCUUUCUCCCAUUUUUCUUCUCAUGUGGGCAUAUCCCUUAAUAAAUCCCUCGCUCCAUUAAUCCCA
Long non-coding RNA from Mus musculus (house mouse), 2188 nucleotides. RefSeq annotates it as predicted gene, 31755. The record is from RefSeq and is a predicted model, not a curated record. The transcript is spliced from 3 exons. Lineage: Eukaryota; Metazoa; Chordata; Mammalia; Rodentia; Muridae.